AUGUCAGAAUGUCUCGGGGUUUGUACCAGGCCAGCUGCACCAACCACCUCCUACUCCCAUGCCACUGUAGUGCUCUCACCCUCAAAUUGGUGGUUCCUGCCCUGGGGGAGGUCUCCUCUGCGGGCCUGCACCAGGAGACAGAAAAUGCAGCAUAAACCCCAAUUGUCUGUGUGCAUGGUCAUGGGUCUUGCUUGGGUCUACAGGAUGUUAACAGAUGUGACAAGGACAGAGACCUUAACCCUGCAGAUAUUAGAGGUGGGUCUUCCUGCUCCCCACCACACCUUCAUGAAACUGACCCAAGCAGGCACAGCCCCUUCUGAUGGGCCCCAAGAUGAAGACACAAGGCAAGCCAGACCAGGUCUGCUAAGCCCCAGCACGUCUGCGGCUCCAGAGCGUGACAGAAACAGUUUAUUGCUUUCAGUCUCUAAGAUGUUAAGGGUUUUUCCUAGGAAACAGCAACUGGCUCAUACAUAAUUUAUUCCAUUUGCCGCUGUACACCUUCUCCACUCUUUUCCUGAAUGAACUCUUUACUGCCCCCAUGACCAUCUACAUCCCAUAAGUAAUUAAGCUGGUGGUUGUAAAGAAACAGAAGCUUUGAAAGUUUGCUUUUGACAAAUCCUCAAAGCAGCCCAUAUAUCAGAGAUCCAGGACAGCACUUAACUCUUCCCAGAUAUGAAUAAGCAAUCCAGGAGGUCUGUGGGGGCAUAGUAUGCUGGUCCUCUGCACUGCCCAGGUCCUGGCUCCCAACUGUAAGUUAACAGCACCUCAGUGAGAAAAGGGGAAGAUCGCAGUUCACCCUUUAAAACAGCACCCUAACCCUAAAGUCACAUGCUAAAGAGACACAAUGGAUAAUGCAAAUAACCACUGAACGGCUGUUCCUUUAGAAAGCAAAACAGAAUAAUCACAGAGGCUGGAGUCCACUUUUAGCUUUUAUAAUCUGACGCACAAGAGAAACAACACAUGUAGGAGUGGAGACUCCCAGGUUGGCUGCCCUAUUUCUGUUAGAUUAUUUCUCAGAUAUUUAGAAUUUUCUUCUUCUUAUUAUUAUUAUUAUUAUACUUUAAGUUCUAGGGUACAUGUGCACAAUGUGCAGGUUUGUUACAUAUGUAUACACAUGCCAUGUUGGUUUGCUGCACCCAUUAACUCAUCAUUUACACUAGGUAUUUCUCCUAAUGCUAUCCCUCCCCUAUUCCCCACCCCACAAUAGGCCCAGGUGUAUGAUGUUCCUCACCCUGUGUCCAAGUGUUCUCAUUGUUCAAUUCCCACCUAUGAGUGAGAACAUGUGGUGUUUGGUUUUCUGUCCUCUAAUAUCUGCCAGCAGCUGAGCUCUUGGGUGGGGGGCAGGUGAAGUGGCGUUCUUUAUAGCCCCACCCGACCCUGGGUCCCCUUCUUUCUGUGUGCUGGCAGCAUUGUGGGGACACUGUGAGAGCAGUUCUUGUUCCAUUAUUUCCCCGCCUCAGGAAGGGGAUCCCUAUGCUGCUAACUCCAGCACCUGAGAACACAUGUCUCUCAUCUACCGCUGCCUUCAUCCCCAAGCUCUGUGGGUAUGCAACCUGUCCUUCUGGGGCACUUGGUCUCCCUUGCUUCUUGGCCUGAGCUGGCCAGCUCUACAUGGUCUCCUGAGCAGCCCAUGGAGGAAGGUGUUUUUUGCUGAGCCCUGACAGUGUCAUUGAACAUUGGAGGGACCUGGGUCUUCACAUGUCCUGGGCUGCUUGUUUCCAUCAGACUCAUAACACCUGUUGUCUUGGGGCCAACCAAACCCUACUGCCCACAUCUAAGGUCAGUUUUGUUAGUGUGAUCCAUGCAUAGGUUCAGGUUUAGCUCUUCAAAACCAUCUGGCCUCUGUUGACCCAUUGAGUCAGAGUCAGGGUGAAGAAUUAAGAUGAAGACAGUUCCACUGACUCGCGGAAUGUUUGAGUUUAUUGACUAACAGCAACAUUUUUGUGUGAGCGUGAAAGGAAGUGGAGUGUGUGGACACAGGGUAUCCUGAGACAACUCUAAAUUGUCUCCUUCUCUACCAAGGCUAUGUUAGCCUUGGGCACACCAGGAUGGACACAGACAUAUAUAAAAGGGCUUCAUGCAGUGUAGCUUGCCCUUCCACUUUCUGCCACAUGAGGACACAGCAGGGAGGCCCUCACAAGAUGCUGGCACCUUGGUCCUGGGCUUCCCAGCCUCUAGAGCUGUGAAAAAUAAGUGUCUGUUUCCUGUAAAUUACCCAGCCUGUGUUGUUCUGUAAUAGCAGCAUAAACAGAAGAGGACAGUUCCUUUCCUGGGCUCAGCAGGGGCCAGGGAAGAACCAGAACUCCAACUCACAGGAGGUAUAUGGACAUGAGGGACUCUGGGUCUUGGGACCUGAAGUGGAGAUUUGGAGUGAGUGGGAGUUGUCCUGAGACUACAUACAGGGCCAGGACUGACAGCUGGGAUGUUUCCUUGUGUAUGUAUCCUGGCAGUUCCCUGCCCUCCCCAGGCUCCACCCCAUCUUCCCUCCCUCUGUCUCAAGGAGAGAGUUUUGGGGAGUCUGCAAAAACCUCCUCACAUUUUCCUUGUCACUUUGUGUUCAUUAUUAUGCUCAAUCUCCCCAGGGCUGUGUCCCAGCCCUGACCCCCUGGGAAAAAUGAAAAGUGUCCAGAUGUCCCCCAGCAGAUGGGAAAGUGGCCACAAUGCAGAAUAAAGCAGUGUAUAUGCAGCACAUUUUGGAACUAAUUUAUACUUAGUGUUUUAUUCUACUGCCGCUUGUGAUUUCAGCUGUAACCAUUUGAGGACAGCCAAGCAGAGGUUGCCAUCUUUAUAUAAUGACUCAGGGACAGCAGAUGAGAGAUUAGGAGCUGAGGGGUGCAGGGUUAAAUGAGAAUUCACAUUUCUGGGGAAGGAGGAAGCUAGUGACACUAAACUACAAUCUGUGCCCCUUUUCCUUCCUGGGGUUGGGGUCCAGGGAUGCUACUGACCAGAUGUUCCCAGCAUGUCUCUGGUCUCAGCCUCUGGCACAAAAUUUGCUCAGGGGCCCACCUCAUGGCUACACUCAACAUCUAUGAACCCAAUUUCCUGAUUCUUCACUGCACAGAUUCCUGAAGGAAGAAAAGUAUAGCUAUCUCCAGGAGCAAGUGCAGACAGGCAAGGCAAACUAGGAGAGUUCUUUCCAAAGGAACAGGGCCCGCAAUGUGAGACCUGUCCUAUAAUUAGGCCUGUGCACCCAAGUCAUGUCGUGCAUGAUACAGAGUCUGGAAAACCAAUAAAAAUCAACAUAUGUCCCAGAAAUUGUGGAUGUCCAUUUCUUGGGGAUGCAGAAAACUGUUAAAGACCCAUAUGUGUAGUCUGAGUCAGGCAGGAAUUAGUGCAUCCUCCCAGGGACCAGUGCCUUGGAGUGGGCUCCUCUCCCCUUGCUCCAUGAGGGACGGCUGUGCUCCCAGAGGGUCCUGAGGCAGGACCCCCCCCUCACCUCAGGGGGCUCACUCCCCAUGAGACCCUGUCCUGGGAGCUGCCUCAGAAUUGGUUCUUAAAUGGAAUGAGUGGGGUGGAUUGUUUGGAGGACACUUGUUGGAAUCACGGUGGAUAAAGCACCUCCUCUGAGCUUCCUUCUGCUGAUGGAGUCAGGGUCAGGAGAAGGACCAAGGGUGGGAGCAGACAGGAGAGGUGGUGGGAAGGUCUCAAAGGAAAAUCUGCUCAAGUCUGGAGCAAGGCAGGGCAGGGCUGUGUGGGUUCUAGAGACCCACCCACCAAAUGGGACUAAGUGCAGCAGCUGUGCCCACCUCAGUGCUGACAGACCGCAGGGCGGUCUCCGAGCCUGGCUCUCCCCUCUGCUUUGCCUGAACACCCACAGUCUAG
RNAcentral lists this long non-coding RNA (3822 nucleotides) under Macaca fascicularis (crab-eating macaque). RNAcentral's name for it is "lncRNA (ENSMFAG00000060260.1)". The record is from RNAcentral. Lineage: Eukaryota; Metazoa; Chordata; Mammalia; Primates; Cercopithecidae.